RNAcentral lists this ribosomal RNA (497 nucleotides) under uncultured bacterium. RNAcentral's name for it is "partial 16S ribosomal RNA". It matches the Rfam family "Bacterial small subunit ribosomal RNA", at positions 28 to 507 of the family's 1533-position model. The record is from RNAcentral.
GAUGAACGCUGGCGGCGUGCCUAAUACAUGCAAGUCGAGCGAACAGAUAAGGAGCUUGCUCCUUUGACGUUAGCGGCGGACGGGUGAGUAACACGUGGGUAACCUACCUAUAAGACUGGGAUAACUUCGGGAAACCGGAGCUAAUACCGGAUAAUAUUUCGAACCGCAUGGUUCGAUAGUGAAAGAUGGUUUUGCUAUCACUUAUAGAUGGACCCGCGCCGUAUUAGCUAGUUGGUAAGGUAACGGCUUACCAAGGCGACGAUACGUAGCCGACCUGAGAGGGUGAUCGGCCACACUGGAACUGAGACACGGUCCAGACUCCUACGGGAGGCAGCAGUAGGGAAUCUUCCGCAAUGGGCGAAAGCCUGACGGAGCAACGCCGCGUGAGUGAUGAAGGUCUUCGGAUCGUAAAACUCUGUUAUUAGGCAAGAACAUACGUGUAAGUAACUGUGCACGUCUUGACGGUACCUAAUCAGAAAGCCACGGCUAACUACGUG